UCUCCUAUCAAGGGAAGGCAAUUCUUUCCACAGCUUCUUCCUGUGAUCUUUAAGUCACUCCAGAGUCCAGAGAAGCCUCGCUCUGAGGAUGAGCUAACCACAGCAAGCACCAUGGGACCCUCUAGAGUAAUCAGGAAGAAGACUUCCAAAACCUGAUGUGAUGUCUCCUGCUGGAGACGGGGCACGAGGUGCAGGGAAGGGGAGGUGGCCUGAUCCAGGACGAGGAUGACGCAAUGCUGAAGCUGGAGGAGAGAAGCAACAGGCACCAUGGAAAAACCCAAAACAAAGCAAG
This is a long non-coding RNA of Rattus rattus (black rat), 292 nucleotides long. RefSeq lists it as uncharacterized. The record is from RefSeq and is a predicted model, not a curated record. The transcript has 3 exons. NCBI's taxonomy places the organism in Eukaryota, Metazoa, Chordata, Mammalia, Rodentia, Muridae.